AGGAGCCGUAUGCGAUGACCCGCACGUACGGUUCUGUGAGAGGCCCAUGCAACUGCGUAUGGGCCUACUCGAU
Paenibacillus sp. IHBB 10380 is the source of this 73-nucleotide non-coding RNA. The record is from Rfam. NCBI's taxonomy places the organism in Bacteria, Bacillati, Bacillota, Bacilli, Caryophanales, Paenibacillaceae.